Long non-coding RNA from Panicum virgatum (switchgrass), 3007 nucleotides. RefSeq lists it as uncharacterized. The transcript is spliced from 2 exons. NCBI's taxonomy places the organism in Eukaryota, Viridiplantae, Streptophyta, Magnoliopsida, Poales, Poaceae. The record is from RefSeq and is a predicted model, not a curated record.
GCGUGCUCUACAUCCCACCUGUGCGGCGCGCGCCAGGUACCCUGUCCCCCGCGCAACGCACGGCCCCGUCAGACGUCGCCGGCACGACCAUCUCGGCCUCUACUGCACCCCGUGGCCCGCCGCCUGGGUUCCCACCUCAGGCCGCGGCCCCUGCGUUCGCCCCUCCGCCGUGCGAGAUCACUAGGGUGUACUCGCGCCGCCCGCGCGCUCCUGCUCCUGCACCCGAUGGACCACCGACCUUGCCCAAGGGCAUCGUGGCUGUCCCUCUAGUGAGCAACGAGCACAGCAUGGCGACGCGCGUCAAGACAGGCUAUCAGAUGCCUGCCCGGCCCAUCCUCCACGUCGCCACUCUGUCUCCCAUCCCGAACACCUACCGUAGCGCUCUAGCUAACCCUAAUUGGCGAGCUGCAAUGGUGGAGGAACAUGAGGCUCUGUCGCAGAACCACACCUGGGAUCUUGUGCCUCGUCCUGUCGAGGCCAAUAUGGUCACUGGAAAGUGGAUCUUCAAGCACAAGCUCCAGGCAGAUGAGUCUCUCGAGCAGUACAAGGCACGUUGGGUUCUUCACGGUUUUUCUCAGUGCCCUGGUGUGAAUUUCUCAGAAACCUUCAAUCCUAUGGUGAAGCCAGCUACUGUUCGCACAGUACUCUCUCUGGCUCUCUCAUGUCAAUGGCCCAUUCACCAGCUUGAUGUCAAGAAUGUCUUUCUGCAUGGCACACUGACUGAGGCAGUAUAUUGCAUGCAGCCUUCUAGUUUUGAGGAUCCCACCCAUCCGGAUGUUGUUUGCCGUCUAAACAAGUCCUUAUAUGGGUUGAAGCAGGCGCCUCGGGCUUGAUACAGUCGGUUUGCUACGCACUUGCUAUCUCUUGGACUUUUGGAAGCCAAGUCAGAUACUUCACUCUUCACUCUUUGUCUUCCAGCGUGGAUCGGACAUAGCUUAUUUGUUGCUAUAUGUUGAUGAUAUUGUCUUCACUGCCUCGUCUCCACAUCUUCUUCGGCGGAUUAUCUCAGCUCUUCAGCAGGAGUUUUCUAUGAAGGACCUUGGUGAACUGCAUCACUUCCUUGGUGUGCAUGUUUAGUGCUGCGGUGAUGGUCUUCAACUCUCACAACGACAGUAUAUGUUGGACAUUCUUGACCGUGCUGGGACGGCAGAGUGCAAGCCGUGUUCUACUCCAGUUGAUACUAAUCCUAAGGUGGCCACUGCUGAUGGUGCUCCUGUUUUGGAUCCUACAGAUUUCCGGAGUCUUGCUGGUGCUGUACAAUACUUGACAUUCACCCGGCGGGAUAUUUCUUAUGCUGUGCAGUAAAUUUGUCUUCACAUGCAUGACCCCAGGGAGCCUCACCUUGCAGCCCUCAAACGGACCCUCCGCUAUGUUUGAGGCACUCUUCACCUUGGUCUUUUGCUGCGACUGUCUUCUUCGACUGAUCUUCGAGUCUACACUGAUGCCGACUGGGUAUGUUGUCCGGAUACACGCAAGUCUACCUCAGGCUAUGUUGUGUUUCUUGAGGACAAUCUCAUCUCCUAGUCCUCGAAGCGUCAGAACACCGUCUCCAGAUCUAGUGCUGAAGCCGAGUAUCGCGCGGUGGCUAAUGGUGUCGCCGAGGCCACAUGGUUAUGCCAACUUCUUCAAGAGCUCCAUGCACCUCACUGUCACGUGACAUUGGUAUACUGCAACAACAUCAGUGCAAGUGCAGUUUACAUGACCUCCAACCAAGUCUAGCAUCAGCGCACCAAGCACAUCGAGAUUGAUCUUCACUUUGUACGCGAGCGGGUCGCUAUUGGUGAUCUGAGGGUUCUGCCUGUUCCGACUUCAUCUCAAUAUGCGGACAUCUUCACCAAAGGCCUCCCUUCUUCGGUGUUCACGGAGUUCAGGACCAGUCUGAACGUGCAUAGCAGCUAACGAUCAGACUGCGAGGGGUGUUAGCGUGACAUAUUUAGGCUGGCCCGUUGGGCUUUAGGCGCCUGCCAUUGGCCAGGGCUGCCAUGGGUUUUAUGGUUGAUUGAUAUGUAUUAGGCAAGGAUCUCCGUUGGUUGAGUGUAUUCUAUAAACCCUAGACGACCCUUGCCUAUAUAAUGUAUCAUGUACUCCCUUUAAUCAAUCAUCCAAUUUCCCGAGCCUUUCUUGCUUUCAACUAUGUUUGAACCAGCCUCUUAGACUAAUUCAUAUCACCUGAACCCAAAGUAAAAAAAAAAGUAACUGCAAGUCACUUGCUGUAUAUUCUCUUCCUACGUGUGUUACCUCAAGCUAUUGGAAAACUGAAAUACAAGAACAUUGAAAAUAAAAAUAAAAAAUUAUCAAAAAACUUGGGUCGUCAUCCCAUUCUCUUCAGAAUUAUGUCAAGAACAUAAUCUCUCUUAUUGUUUACUUGAUACAGAACCUCCCACAUGGUUCCAAGAACAUAAUCUCUUCAGAAACUGAAAUAUAUUUAGCAUUGCUAAAUAUAUUUGUACAACCUGAUUUAUCCAUCUACAAAAAAGAGAUGUGUAUUUCAACAUUCCAGUUUUUUUAGCAGGAGGCACUACAUAGCCACUGGAAGAUUUACAGCAGAAACUGGAGUUGUCAAGGUAUUUUGGAGCAACCAUACCCUAUUAAAUGUUAGAAUUUGAUCAAAGUGUUUUACUUUCUAUGUGCAGAGAACCUCAGCAAUUUCAUGAACCUCCUUGAAGAGAAUGGAGUUGAUCUCAAAGAAGUUGAUGUCCGCUUUCACAGAACCUUAUUGCUGAAUUCAUGGGUUCAGUUCCUCCAGAAGUGAAUUCCCCUCCAAACAUGAUAGAAGGUGAUGAAGGCGAGAAUGUUCCUGCAGAACUAACCAAGCCAACCUACCAAAGAACAUUUUUUUUUGAAUUUAAACUGUGAGGAAGAUCCCCACAGCAUUGUAUUAAAAAAGAAAACAGUUAUGUACAACCUACCAUAGAUACAACCUACCACCGAUCCCAAGCUUCACUACACUCACGUGUUCUGAACAUUAAUGGAAUGAAAAAUAGAGAGCAAUUGUUUCAUCCAACUA